Non-coding RNA from Podarcis lilfordi (Lilford's wall lizard), 73 nucleotides. NCBI's taxonomy places the organism in Eukaryota, Metazoa, Chordata, Lepidosauria, Squamata, Lacertidae. The record is from the annotation of a GenBank genome assembly.
UCCUGGAUAGCUCAGUCAGUAGAACAUGAGCCUCUUAAUCUCAGGGUUGUGGGUUCAAGCCCCACGUUGGGCA